Long non-coding RNA from Pygocentrus nattereri (red-bellied piranha), 2049 nucleotides. RefSeq lists it as uncharacterized. The record is from RefSeq and is a predicted model, not a curated record. NCBI's taxonomy places the organism in Eukaryota, Metazoa, Chordata, Actinopteri, Characiformes, Serrasalmidae. The transcript is spliced from 5 exons.
GAUGGGGACAGUGAGUGCGUGCAAAAUAUCUACACAUCACAGUGAAUUGGACACACAGGCACACGUCAAACAGGUGAAUGCAACUCUGUGUGUUCUUGUUCUUUGAUGUCUACAUUCAAGGAUGCUCUGCAGUGUUUGCUGGCCAGUUGUUUUGGGCCACCGUUGCAAAUCUGGUUGUCUUUCACUCGUGAGUUCUUACUUGCUGAAGCAGUCCCUGCUGUCCCGUGUGGAGCCCAUGUCCCAUCCAUAGGGCGCUCCCUGCAGCCCGGCCCAGCUGCCCGUGGGAGGAGGCCAGCCUGCUGAUUUGUUCUUGUGGCUGGAAUGGAAAACAAGCAGAGAAGCAGAUGAUGAUAGUUUUCAUGUUAUGAGGGCGUUUGUAGAAGGCCACUAUCUGCAGAUCUAAGAAUACGUGCUGGAGCAUAAACAGACAGACACUCUGAUGUAAGCAGGUGCUUUAACGCCAUUUAGAACCUUAAAAGCCAGUAGCAGAACUUUAAAGUCUAUCCUGGAUGAUUUGUUGGCCAGUGCAGUUCUUUUAAAACAGCACUGAUGUGCUGAGCUACUGUAUUUUGUAUGAGUUGUAAGGGAUGUACUGUUUUCAUAGGAAGUCCAGUAAGAAGAGUAUUACAGUAAUCAAGUCUGCUUGUAACAAAUGCACAAACAAGUUUCUCUGUAUCACUGUAGAAAAACUCCAACUUUAGCGAUAUUUCUCAAAUGAUAUAAAGAUCUUUCAGUGGUUGUGUUGACAUGUGGGAUAAAACAGUUCAGAUCACACCCAGAUUUCCUAAUUCUGAUUCUGAUUUGGUAUAUGAUGCUAAGGCUGAGCUUCUCAUUAAACAUUUUAGUUUUAGUCCCAAAUAUUAGUAUUUAUUUUUCUUGAUUUAGUUGUAGGAAAUUCUAUGAAUUCUAUAAAUAUUUGAAACACAGCUGGUAAGCCUGUCAACAGAAUCUUGAUUAUUAGAAGAAAUGUAAAUGUAUAAUUGCAUGUCAUCAGCACAAUUAUUAAAACUGACAUCAUGUUUCCUAGUAACAUUACAACAUUCUGGAGGUAAUGUCUAAAAAGACAAAAGCAAAGACUCUAAAUCUGAACCUUGUGGAACUCCACAAGAAAUGUUAAAUGUCAGCAUUUUCCAGUAAAAUAUUUCAAGAAAAAUUUACUGCGAUUUACUUCAUGAUAUGCUGUCAGGUGAAAGACUGUAUUAUUAUUUUUACAAUUGUGGUUUUACUGUUUGUGGUAGACAAGUUAGUCAGCUUGCUAAUGAUGAUGUUACCCAUUUGUCAUCCUACCGUCAAUAACCAUAGCAUUUUUUUUGCUACAGAUCAGUGUGUAGAAGUAUACUUUCAAUAGUAAAUAAUUAUUAUUUUUUUUAUGCCUAUGGUUAGAAGGUUGGCUUGCGAACAUUUUCUAUUUUCUUUGCCAAUCUUCCAGUCCAGCUUUGGUCAUGCCCAUUAUGCAAGGCAGUGAAACUUUUAGUAUGACUUUGGCUUAAUUGGAAACAACUGCAUAUGAAUUCUAAACUUUCGAUCUGUACCACAUUUGUGUUAAAAUGUACGAAAUGACUUGAACUAGACGGAAGAUGGAACUUGUUUGCUAAUAGAAACACUAUCCUUUCCAUUUUCACUACCUUUUUGCAACUUCUUUGCAUUAUAACAAAUUGUAAGAAGUUGGGUGCCUGUAGAAACAUAAUUUAAAUCAAAUUCAAAUUUGGGGCAGUGGGAGCUAAUUCAUUACGUAAUUGUAAUUAAGUUGGUUUAAAAGAGUGUUCUUCAUUUUCUUAUCAUUAUUCCACAUUUCAAAACAUCACAUGUAGUGUAAAUUACCUUGCUACAGUUUUCGAUUUAGAACUACAACAUUUUGAAUGAAUGUAAAACCUAUACCCAAAUUGGUUGCUUGUGCUUUUUAAACUGAUUAGAUGUUUAAUUUUGUACAGGAUUUGUUCAAAGAUAAUGUUCACAAAUUUCAAAUCUGAAACAAAUGAUAUCACAAUGAACAUCUGUUAGACUGUCCUUCAUAGACAUUACACACAAAUUCACUGAUCUUCUAGCACA